Molecule: long non-coding RNA, 264 nt
Organism: Xyrauchen texanus (razorback sucker)
Lineage: Eukaryota; Metazoa; Chordata; Actinopteri; Cypriniformes; Catostomidae
Exons: 3
Source: RefSeq, a predicted model, not a curated record
UCAGAAUCUGGAGUUCCUGUUACAUCACAAGGAGUUCCUAACACUGAAGCCGCAUGACUGGUUAUUUGGAGAGACGAUCGAGUGCUAUUUAAGAGCUGUACUUAAUGCAAAGGGUGCAAAUAUCUACCAGCUAAGCCAUUACACCACAAGUGUCAUUUUAAAUGGCCCAGAAGACCAGGUCAUACGACAAGGUUUGAAAAAAGUCAACUUUGAGCAAUAUGAUGGGGUCAUCUCUGUUGUAAAUAUCAGACACGUGCACUGGAG